AAGUCGUAACAAGGUUUCCGUAGGUGAACCUGCGGAAGGAUCAUUAACACGUAUCCACGUUAUCAACCAACUGCGAACUUGUUUUCCAUCUCCCUGUGUUUUGUUUGUGGCAACACAAUCCGAAUCAGGCAAACCCUUUCAAUUAAACACCUAUUUCACCACCUUUUUGCUAGUUGACUUUUAUAUGUUGUUUGAUUCGACUUCGCGUCUGAUCUGACACACGUUUAUUAUUUGAACGUUAAAAUUACAACUCUUAGCAAUGGAUAUCUUGGUUCUC
This 277-nucleotide unclassified non-coding RNA is filed under the name fungal sp. RNAcentral describes it as "partial internal transcribed spacer region". The stretch from base 1 to 46 matches the Rfam family "Eukaryotic small subunit ribosomal RNA", at positions 1786 to 1831 of the family's 1831-position model. Lineage: Eukaryota; Fungi. The record is from RNAcentral.